AUCUGGUUCAGGACGAACGCUGGCGGCGUGCCUAAUACAUGCAAGUCGAACGGUCUUUCUAUGGAAGCUUGCUUCCACUGAGAAGAUAGUGGCGAACGGGUGAGUAACACGUGGGUAACCUGCCCAUAAGAGGGGGGAUAACAUCCGGAAACGGGUGCUAAUACCGCAUAGUUUUCUUGAUCGCAUGAUCGGGAAAGGAAAGACGGCCUUUGUGCUGUCGCUUAUGGAUGGACCCGCGGCGUAUUAGUUAGUUGGUGAGGUAACGGCUCACCAAGACGAUGAUACGUAGCCGACCUGAGAGGGUGAUCGGCCACAUUGGGACUGAGACACGGCCCAAACUCCUACGGGAGGCAGCAGUAGGGAAUCUUCCGCAAUGGACGAAAGUCUGACGGAGCAACGCCGCGUGAGUGAAGAAAGGUUUUCGGAUCGUAAAACUCUGUUGUCAGAGAAGAACAAGUUGGAGAGUAACUGCUCCAGCCUUGACGGUAUCUGACCAGAAAGCCACGGCUAACUACGUGCCAGCCGCCGC
RNAcentral lists this ribosomal RNA (529 nucleotides) under uncultured bacterium. RNAcentral describes it as "bacterial SSU rRNA". It matches the Rfam family "Bacterial small subunit ribosomal RNA", at positions 17 to 518 of the family's 1533-position model. The record is from RNAcentral.